Molecule: ribosomal RNA, 2130 nt
Filed under: Escherichia coli O25b:H4-ST131
Lineage: Bacteria; Pseudomonadati; Pseudomonadota; Gammaproteobacteria; Enterobacterales; Enterobacteriaceae
Description: partial 23S ribosomal RNA
Rfam family: Bacterial large subunit ribosomal RNA
Source: RNAcentral
AAUCAAACCGGGAGAUAGCUGGUUCUCCCCGAAAGCUAUUUAGGUAGCGCCUCGUGAAUUCAUCUCCGGGGGUAGAGCACUGUUUCGGCAAGGGGGUCAUCCCGACUUACCAACCCGAUGCAAACUGCGAAUACCGGAGAAUGUUAUCACGGGAGACACACGGCGGGUGCUAACGUCCGUCGUGAAGAGGGAAACAACCCAGACCGCCAGCUAAGGUCCCAAAGUCAUGGUUAAGUGGGAAACGAUGUGGGAAGGCCCAGACAGCCAGGAUGUUGGCUUAGAAGCAGCCAUCAUUUAAAGAAAGCGUAAUAGCUCACUGGUCGAGUCGGCCUGCGCGGAAGAUGUAACGGGGCUAAACCAUGCACCGAAGCUGCGGCAGCGACACUAUGUGUUGUUGGGUAGGGGAGCGUUCUGUAAGCCUGUGAAGGUGGCCUGUGAGGGUUGCUGGAGGUAUCAGAAGUGCGAAUGCUGACAUAAGUAACGAUAAAGCGGGUGAAAAGCCCGCUCGCCGGAAGACCAAGGGUUCCUGUCCAACGUUAAUCGGGGCAGGGUGAGUCGACCCCUAAGGCGAGGCCGAAAGGCGUAGUCGAUGGGAAACAGGUUAAUAUUCCUGUACUUGGUGUUACUGCGAAGGGGGGACGGAGAAGGCUAUGUUGGCCGGGCGACGGUUGUCCCGGUUUAAGCGUGUAGGCUGGUUUUCCAGGCAAAUCCGGAAAAUCAAGGCUGAGGCGUGAUGACGAGGCACUACGGUGCUGAAGCGACAAAUGCCCUGCUUCCAGGAAAAGCCUCUAAGCAUCAGGUAACAUCAAAUCGUACCCCAAACCGACACAGGUGGUCAGGUAGAGAAUACCAAGGCGCUUGAGAGAACUCGGGUGAAGGAACUAGGCAAAAUGGUGCCGUAACUUCGGGAGAAGGCACGCUGAUAUGUAGGUGAAGCGACUUGCUCGUGGAGCUGAAAUCAGUCGAAGAUACCAGCUGGCUGCAACUGUUUAUUAAAAACACAGCACUGUGCAAACACGAAAGUGGACGUAUACGGUGUGACGCCUGCCCGGUGCCGGAAGGUUAAUUGAUGGGGUUAGCGGUAACGCGAAGCUCUUGAUCGAAGCCCCGGUAAACGGCGGCCGUAACUAUAACGGUCCUAAGGUAGCGAAAUUCCUUGUCGGGUAAGUUCCGACCUGCACGAAUGGCGUAAUGAUGGCCAGGCUGUCUCCACCCGAGACUCAGUGAAAUUGAACUCGCUGUGAAGAUGCAGUGUACCCGCGGCAAGACGGAAAGACCCCGUGAACCUUUACUAUAGCUUGACACUGAACAUUGAGCCUUGAUGUGUAGGAUAGGUGGGAGGCUUUGAAGUGUGGACGCCAGUCUGCAUGGAGCCGACCUUGAAAUACCACCCUUUAAUGUUUGAUGUUCUAACGUGGGCCCCUUACCGGGGUUGCGGACAGUGUCUGGUGGGUAGUUUGACUGGGGCGGUCUCCUCCUAAAGAGUAACGGAGGAGCACGAAGGUUGGCUAAUCCUGGUCGGACAUCAGGAGGUUAGUGCAAUGGCAUAAGCCAGCUUGACUGCGAGCGUGACGGCGCGAGCAGGUGCGAAAGCAGGUCAUAGUGAUCCGGUGGUUCUGAAUGGAAGGGCCAUCGCUCAACGGAUAAAAGGUACUCCGGGGAUAACAGGCUGAUACCGCCCAAGAGUUCAUAUCGACGGCGGUGUUUGGCACCUCGAUGUCGGCUCAUCACAUCCUGGGGCUGAAGUAGGUCCCAAGGGUAUGGCUGUUCGCCAUUUAAAGUGGUACGCGAGCUGGGUUUAGAACGUCGUGAGACAGUUCGGUCCCUAUCUGCCGUGGGCGCUGGAGAACUGAGGGGGGCUGCUCCUAGUACGAGAGGACCGGAGUGGACGCAUCACUGGUGUUCGGGUUGUCAUGCCAAUGGCACUGCCCGGUAGCUAAAUGCGGAAGAGAUAAGUGCUGAAAGCAUCUAAGCACGAAACUUGCCCCGAGAUGAGUUCUCCCUGACUCCUUGAGAGUCCUGAAGGAACGUUGAAGACGACGACGUUGAUAGGCCGGGUGUGUAAGCGCAGCGAUGCGUUGAGCUAACCGGUACUAAUGAACCGUGAGGCUUAACCUUACAACGCCGAAG